GGUAACAGGUCUUCGGAUGCUGACGAGUGGCGAACGGGUGAGUAAUACAUCGGAACGUGCCCGAUCGUGGGGGAUAACGAAGCGAAAGCUUUGCUAAUACCGCAUAAGAUCUACGGAUGAAAGCAGGGGACCGCAAGGCCUUGCGCGAACGGAGCGGCCGAUGGCAGAUUAGGUAGUUGGUGGGAUAAAAGCUUACCAAGCCGACGAUCUGUAGCUGGUCUGAGAGGACGACCAGCCACACUGGGACUGAGACACGGCCCAGACUCCUACGGGAGGCAGCAGUGGGGAAUUUUGGACAAUGGGCGAAAGCCUGAUCCAGCCAUGCCGCGUGCAGGAUGAAGGCCUUCGGGUUGUAAACUGCUUUUGUACGGAACGAAAAGACUCUGGUUAAUACCUGGGGUCCAUGACGGUACCGUAAGAAUAAGCACCGGCUAACUACGUGCCAGCAGCCGCGGUAAUACGUAGGGUGCAAGCGUUAAUCGGAAUUACUGGGCGUAAAGCGUGCGCAGGCGGUUAUAUAAGACAGAUGUGAAAUCCCCGGGCUCAACCUGGGAACUGCAUUUGUGACUGUAUAGCUAGAGUACGGCAGAGGGGGAUGGAAUUCCGCGUGUAGCAGUGAAAUGCGUAGAUAUGCGGAGGAACACCGAUGGCGAAGGCAAUCCCCUGGGGCCUGUACUGACGCUCAUGCACGAAAGC
RNAcentral lists this ribosomal RNA (696 nucleotides) under uncultured beta proteobacterium. Its description in RNAcentral is "bacterial SSU rRNA". It matches the Rfam family "Bacterial small subunit ribosomal RNA", at positions 68 to 760 of the family's 1533-position model. The record is from RNAcentral. Lineage: Bacteria; Pseudomonadati; Pseudomonadota; Betaproteobacteria.